RNAcentral lists this ribosomal RNA (377 nucleotides) under uncultured bacterium. RNAcentral's name for it is "bacterial SSU rRNA". It matches the Rfam family "Bacterial small subunit ribosomal RNA", at positions 521 to 896 of the family's 1533-position model. The record is from RNAcentral.
UAAGACAGAGGUUGCAAGCGUUGUUCGGAAUCACUGGGCGUAAAGGGCGUGUAGGCGGCGGAGUAUGUCUGACGUGAAAUCCCUCGGCUUAACUGGGGAAUUGCAUCGGAAACUGCUCUGCUUGAGUGUGAGAGAGGAUAGCGGAAUUCCCAGAGUAGAGGUGAAAUUCGUAGAUACUGGGAGGAACACCUGAGGCGAAGGCGGCUAUCUGGUUCACAACUGACGCUGAGACGCGAAAGCAUGGGGAGCAAACAGGAUUAGAUACCCUGGUAGUCCAUGCCAUAAACGAUGUUCACUAGACAUUAGGAGUAUUGACCCUUUUAGUGUCGCAGCUAACGCAUUAAGUGAACCGCCUGGGGAGUACGGUCGCAAGACUA